UAGUAACGGCGAGUGAAGCGGGAAUAGCUCAAAUUUGAAAUCUCACUUUGGUGCGAAUUGUAGUUUAGAGAAGCGUUUUCGGUUGCAAGGCCGCGGUACAAGUUCAUUGGAACAUGGCAUCAUAGAGGGUGAAAAUCCCGUCUCUGACCGCGGCUCUUGCUCCAUAUGAUACGUUUUCCAAGAGUCGGUUUGUUUGGGAAUGCAGACCAAAAUGGGAGGUAAAUACCUUCUAAAGCUAAAUAUUGGCGAGAGACCGAUAGCGAACAAGUACCGUGAGGGAAAGAUGAAAAGAACUUUGAAAAGAGAGUUAAACAGUACGUGAAAUUGUCAAAAGGGAAACGCUUGAAACCAGUAUUGUUUUGCGGUAUUUAUACCGUUCAAUAAGUUAACAUCAGUUUGGUUUGGAGUAAAAUGCCAUUGGAAGGUAGCCUUUCGGGGUGUUAUAGCCUUUGGUGAUGCUCUGGGCUGGACUGAGGACUGCAGUGUUAUUUGGGGAACCUUUCGCCUUCCGAAGUAGCGUUAGCGACUGCUUGCAGAUGCUAGCGAUUACCAGGGAGCCCGGGAGGUGUACCACACCACCACUUUGGAUGUUGACGAAAUGGUUUUAAACGACCCGUCUUGAAACACGGACCAAGGAGUCUAACAUAUGUGCGAGUAUUUGGGUGGCAAACCCUUUUGCGUAAUGAAAGUGAAAAGGUGGGAUUCUUUAUUGAUGCACCAUCGACCGCGCCAGAUUAUUACUAUCUUGGCGUGAGUAUGAGCAUACAUGCUGGGACCCGAAAGAUGGUGAACUAUGCCUGAAUAGGGUGAAGCCAGAGGAAACUCUGGUGGAGGCUCGUAGCGGUUCUGACGUGCAAAUCGAUCGUCAAAUUUGGGUAUAGGGGCGAAAGACUAAUC
Molecule: ribosomal RNA, 897 nt
Filed under: uncultured Rhizophydiales
Lineage: Eukaryota; Fungi; Chytridiomycota; Chytridiomycetes; Rhizophydiales
Description: partial 28S ribosomal RNA
Rfam family: Eukaryotic large subunit ribosomal RNA
Source: RNAcentral